CCAGACUCCUACGGGAGGCAGCAGUGGGGAAUAUUGCACAAUGGGGGAAACCCUGAUGCAGCGAUGCCGCGUGGAGGAAGAAGGUUUUCGGAUUGUAAACUCCUUUUAUCAGGGACGAUAAUGACGGUACCUGAAGAAAAAGCUCCGGCUAACUACGUGCCAGCAGCCGCGGUAAUACGUAGGGGGCAAGCGUUAUCCGGAUUUACUGGGUGUAAAGGGAGCGUAGACGGCCAGACAAGUCAGAAGUGAAAGCCCAGGGCUCAACCCUGGGACUGCUUUUGAAACUGCCGGGCUGGAGUGCAGGAGAGGUAAGCGGAAUUCCUAGUGUAGCGGUGAAAUGCGUAGAUAUUAGGAGGAACACCAGUGGCGAAGGCGGCUUACUGGACUGUAACUGACGUUGAGGCUCGAAAGCGUGGGGAGCAAACAGGAUUAGAUACCCUAGUAU
This 445-nucleotide ribosomal RNA is filed under the name uncultured bacterium. Its description in RNAcentral is "bacterial SSU rRNA". It matches the Rfam family "Bacterial small subunit ribosomal RNA", at positions 331 to 793 of the family's 1533-position model. The record is from RNAcentral.